Molecule: ribosomal RNA, 207 nt
Filed under: Streptomyces lincolnensis
Lineage: Bacteria; Bacillati; Actinomycetota; Actinomycetes; Kitasatosporales; Streptomycetaceae
Description: partial 16S ribosomal RNA
Rfam family: Bacterial small subunit ribosomal RNA
Source: RNAcentral
UCCACACUGGGACUGAGACACGGCCCAGACUCCUACGGGAGGCAGCAGUGGGGAAUAUUGCACAAUGGGCGAAAGCCUGAUGCAGCGACGCCGCGUGAGGGAUGACGGCCUUCGGGUUGUAAACCUCUUUCAGCAGGGAAGAAGCGAAAGUGACGGUACCUGCAGAAGAAGCGCCGGCUAACUACGUGCCAGCAGCCGCGGUAAUAC